RNAcentral lists this ribosomal RNA (498 nucleotides) under uncultured bacterium. RNAcentral's name for it is "partial 16S ribosomal RNA". It matches the Rfam family "Bacterial small subunit ribosomal RNA", at positions 28 to 507 of the family's 1533-position model. The record is from RNAcentral.
GACGAACGCUGGCGGCGUGCCUAAUACAUGCAAGUCGAGCGGACGGAUGGGAGCUUGCUCCCAGCCCGUCAGCGGCGGACGGGUGAGUAACACGUGGGCAACCUGCCUGUAAGACUGGGAUAACUCCGGGAAACCGGGGCUAAUACCGGAUAACUCUUUCCCUCACAUGAGGGAAAGCUGAAAGAUGGCAUCUCGCUAUCACUUACAGAUGGGCCCGCGGCGCAUUAGCUAGUUGGUGAGGUAACGGCUCACCAAGGCGACGAUGCGUAGCCGACCUGAGAGGGUGAUCGGCUACACUGGGACUGAGACACGGCCCAGACACCUACGGGAGGCAGCAGUAGGGAAUCUUCCGCAAUGGACGAAAGUCUGACGGAGCAACGCCGCGUGAGUGAUGAAGGUGUUCGGAUCGUAAAACUAUGUUGUCAGGGAAGAACAAGUACCGGAGUAACUGCCGAUACCUUGACGGUACCUGACCAGAAAGCCACGGCUAACUACGUG